CCUCAGCAGGCCGCGGUAAUACGGAGGAUCCAAGCGUUAUCCGGAAUCAUUGGGUUUAAAGGGUCCGUAGGUGGAUAAUUAAGUCAGAGGUGAAAUCCUGCAGCUUAACUGUAGAAUUGCCUUUGAUACUGGUUGUCUUGAGUUAUUAUGAAGUGGUUAGAAUAUGUAGUGUAGCGGUGAAAUGCAUAGAUAUUACAUAGAAUACCAAUUGCGAAGGCAGAUCACUAAUAAUAUACUGACACUGAUGGACGAAAGCGUGGGGAGCGAACAGGAUUAGAUACCCUGGUAGUCCACGCCGUAAACGAUGGUCACUAGCUGUUCGGGUUUCGAUCUGAGUGGCUAAGCGAAAGUGAUAAGUGACCCACCUGGGGAGUACGUUCGCAAGAAUGAAACUCAGAGGAAUUGACGG
Molecule: ribosomal RNA, 409 nt
Filed under: uncultured Formosa sp.
Lineage: Bacteria; Pseudomonadati; Bacteroidota; Flavobacteriia; Flavobacteriales; Flavobacteriaceae
Description: bacterial SSU rRNA
Rfam family: Bacterial small subunit ribosomal RNA
Source: RNAcentral